RNAcentral lists this long non-coding RNA (460 nucleotides) under Pan troglodytes (chimpanzee). Its description in RNAcentral is "long non-coding RNA NONPTRT004032". Lineage: Eukaryota; Metazoa; Chordata; Mammalia; Primates; Hominidae. The record is from RNAcentral.
GGAGGGGCGUCUGCCCUUGUUUCCCCCGUUAACGUUUAAUUUGGGAACGAGAUGCCCGGGGAUGCAACCAGCCCCGCGCUCGGAGGCGGCGGCCGGAGUUCCGUGCGCAGAGGGCACACAAAAGCCUUGAGGAUCAUUGCCUCGACCCCAUCCCCCACCGCGCGGCGACGCCCCCUACGGGCUGGGACACCUCCACCCUCGGACUGCUGCCUGGUUUCCCUCCGGCUGCGACCCUGGAGGAUUUGAUGGAAAUGCUACAAGAGAAGCAGGCUCUCCCCUUCUGAAAUGAUGAGUGAUAAUGACCAUACAGGUCAACUUUUCCACCACUUGGAGGGAGCCUGUCAAAGAACAAAGGCAACAGAGAAGAGAGCAGAGCUGAGGUUGGGUGAGAGGGAGAAAUGCCUGAGUGCUUGAAUCCCACAUGCCGGAAGCCGCACCACAUUUGGACUUCUCAAUACAG